UUUCGCAAUGCCCGAAAGGGUGACGAAGCGACGCCGCGUGAGUGAGGAAGGCCUUCGGGUUGUAAAGCUCUGUCAGGAGUUAAGAAAUAUAAGUGUGUUAAUACCACAUUUAUUUGACGAAGGCUCCAAAGGAAGCCACGGCUAACUCUGUGCCAGCAGCCGCGGUAAUACAGAGGUGGCAAGCGUUGUUCGGAAUUAUUGGGCGUAAAGAGCACGUAGGUGGGUUUGUAAGUCAGAUGUGAAAGCCUUCUGUUCAACGGAAGAAUUGCAUCUGAAACUGCGAGUCUUGAGUGUAGGAGGGGAGAAUGGGACUUCUGGUGGAGCGGUGAAAUGCGUAGAUAUCAGAAGGAACGCCGGCGGCGAAAGCGAUUCUCUGGCCUAUUACUGACACUCAGUGUGCGAAAGCUAGGGGAGCAAACGGGAUUAGAUACCCCGGUAGUCCUAGCUGUAAACGAUGGGCACUAAGUAGAGGGGUUUUA
RNAcentral lists this ribosomal RNA (479 nucleotides) under uncultured anaerobic ammonium-oxidizing bacterium. RNAcentral's name for it is "bacterial SSU rRNA". It matches the Rfam family "Bacterial small subunit ribosomal RNA", at positions 364 to 833 of the family's 1533-position model. The record is from RNAcentral.